Molecule: ribosomal RNA, 253 nt
Filed under: uncultured bacterium
Lineage: Bacteria
Description: partial 16S ribosomal RNA
Rfam family: Bacterial small subunit ribosomal RNA
Source: RNAcentral
UACGUAGGGGGCUAGCGUUGUCCGGAAUCAUUGGGCGUAAAGAGCGUGUAGGCGGCCCGGUAAGUCCGCUGUAAAAGUCAAAGGCUCAACCUUUGAAUGUCAGUGGAUACUGCCGGGCUAGAGUCCGGAAGAGGCGAGUGGAACUCCUGGUGUAGCGGUGGAAUGUGCAGAUAUCAGGAAGAACACCAACGGCGAAGGCAGCUCGCUGGGACGGUACUGACGCUGAGACGCGAAAGCGUGGGGAGCGAACAGG